Molecule: ribosomal RNA, 429 nt
Filed under: Actinomycetes bacterium
Lineage: Bacteria; Bacillati; Actinomycetota; Actinomycetes
Description: Actinobacteria bacterium partial 16S ribosomal RNA
Rfam family: Bacterial small subunit ribosomal RNA
Source: RNAcentral
UAGGGAAUCUUCCGCAAUGGGCGAAAGCUUGACGGAGCAACGCCGCGUGAGUGAUGAAGGUCUUCGGAUCGUAAAACUCUGUUAUUAGGGAAGAACAAAUGUGUAAGUAACUAUGCACGUCUUGACGGUACCUAAUCAGAAAGCCACGGCUAACUACGUGCCAGCAGCCGCGGUAAUACGUAGGUGGCAAGCGUUAUCCGGAAUUAUUGGGCGUAAAGCGCGCGUAGGCGGUUUUUUAAGUCUGAUGUGAAAGCCCACGGCUCAACCGUGGAGGGUCAUUGGAAACUGGAAAACUUGAGUGCAGAAGAGGAAAGUGGAAUUCCAGGUGUAGCGGUGAAAUGCGCAGAGAUAUGGAGGAACACCAGUGGCGAAGGCGACUUUCUGGUCUGUAACUGACGCUGAUGUGCGAAAGCGGGGGGAUCAAACAGG